This 385-nucleotide ribosomal RNA is filed under the name uncultured bacterium. RNAcentral's name for it is "bacterial SSU rRNA". It matches the Rfam family "Bacterial small subunit ribosomal RNA", at positions 335 to 737 of the family's 1533-position model. The record is from RNAcentral.
ACUCCUACGGGUAGGCAGCAGUGGGAAUCUUGGACAAUGGGGGCAACCCUGAUCCAGCCAUGCCGCGUGAGCGAUGAGGCCUUAGGGUUGUAAAGCUCUUUCAGCCGGUGAAGAUAAUGACGGUAGCCGGAGAAGAAGCCCCGGCUAACUCCGUGCCAGCGAGCCGCGGUAAUACGGAGGGGCUAGCGUUGUUCGGAAUUACUGGGCGUAAAGCGCGCGUAGGCGGGCUGUUAAGUCGGGGGUGAAAUCCCGGGGCUCAACCCCGGAACUGCCCUCGAUACUGGCAGCCUAGAGAUCUGGAGAGGCGAGUGGAAUUCCGAGUGUAGAGGUGAAAUUCGUAGAUAUUCGGAGGAACACCAGUGGCGAAGGCGGCUCGCUGGCCAGG